GUAGGUGGCAAGCGUUGUCCGGAUUUAUUGGGCGUAAAGCGAGUGCAGGCGGGUCAAUAAGUCUGAUGUGAAAAGCUUCUGGUCCAACGGAGAAUUGCAUCAGAAACUGUUGAACUUGAGUGCAGAAGAGGAGAGUGGAACUCCAUGUGUAGCGGUGGAAUGCGUAGAUAUAUGGAAGAACACCAGUGGCGAAGGCGGCUCUCUGGUCUGCAACUGACGCUGAGGCUCGAAAGCAUGGGUAGCGAA
Molecule: ribosomal RNA, 246 nt
Filed under: uncultured bacterium
Lineage: Bacteria
Description: partial 16S ribosomal RNA
Rfam family: Bacterial small subunit ribosomal RNA
Source: RNAcentral